This 26-nucleotide transfer RNA is filed under the name Iochroma fuchsioides. RNAcentral's name for it is "partial tRNA-Phe". The record is from RNAcentral. RNAcentral also lists the same sequence under 2 other names. Lineage: Eukaryota; Viridiplantae; Streptophyta; Magnoliopsida; Solanales; Solanaceae.
GUUGGUAGAGCAGAGGACUGAAAAUC